This 498-nucleotide ribosomal RNA is filed under the name uncultured bacterium. RNAcentral's name for it is "partial 16S ribosomal RNA". It matches the Rfam family "Bacterial small subunit ribosomal RNA", at positions 28 to 523 of the family's 1533-position model. The record is from RNAcentral.
GAUGAACGCUGGCGGCGUGCUUAACACAUGCAAGUCGAACGAAGCACUCUAUUUGAUUUUCUUCGGAAAUGAAGAUUUUGUGACUGAGUGGCGGACGAGUGAGUAACGCGUGGGUAACCUGCCUCAUACAGGGGGAUAACAGUUGGAAACGACUGCUACUACCGCAUAAGCGCACAGGAUUGCAUGAUCCGGUGGGAAAAACUCCGGUGGUAUGAGAUGGAGCCGCGUCUGAAUAGCCAGUUGUCAGGGGAACGGCCUACCAAAGCGACGAGCAGUAGCCGACCGGAGAGGGUGACCGGGCACAUUGGGACUGAGACACGGCCCAAACUCCUACGGGAGGCAGCAGUGGGGAAUAUUGCACAAUGGGGGAAACCCUGAUGCAGCGACGCAGCGUGAGCGAAGAAGUAUUUCGGUAUGUAAAGCUCUAUCAGCAGGGAAGAAGAAUGACGGUACCUGACUAAGAAGCACCGGCUAAAUACGUGCCAGCCGCCGCAGUAA